ACUACAGUGUAAACACAAACAAAAGUGUACCACAGAAACAAGCUUUGCUUCAAGCUUUGGCACACCCAAGGCAGUCUUCACACAUGACAACUGUGUGUUCCAUGCACAAGUGUUGCUUACACUGAGAGUACAUAUGUCUUGUUUUCCUGUACUUUCUCAUAGGGCACUCUUGACAUCUUCCUUGUUUUCCUGUUGUUGCAGUAGGUCUUUGUGAUGCCGCACCUGCCUAUUCACCUGGCCGCUCACCAGUGUGCUCCACAAUCUUUUGGCAUAGUUCCUUGGGCAGAAUCAUUUUGCUUUUCCUCUGCUGUAAAUGAUCUUAUGAGCUCCAGUCCUGAUCCUCUAAGAAAAUUUCUCUGUGGUAUUUGGUACUUGCUAUUUCCUUUGUAAACUCUCAAGCUAUUUAAGCCACACGUGUUUAGGAUCAAAUAAAACACAGCCAUUGCCCAAUGUUUUGUGUUUCACGUGACAUCAUAUUUGCUGCAUAACUCAUCAAUGACAUCUACCCCACGUUCAGUUUUGUUAUUGAAAAUUUCCAUCUCAGGCUUCUGUUUUGUUGAGGUUUCUCUAUCAAUAUUUCCAUCAUGGUAAAAUGUGGACAUCAGCGGUAUGCUUUUCUUUGAAAAAAGCAGUUUGCUUUUCUUUGCCAUUUAUGAGGCCAAUGUUACGUCUUUCUGAUGUCAAAGAUUGUAAGAUAUAAUUCUCCAACUGUAAAUUGCAACACUUCAUUUGAAUUUUCUGCUUUGUUCCUGUGUAAGUUACUCUGCUGCUCAACUUGUGCUCUGUUAGCAAAUGGAACAUCAGUCAGAAACCAGUAAUCCAAUUGUCCAGUGUCACAUUCCAAUUAGUUUGGAAGAUAGGAACUACAGGUCUGUUCACAUCAUUUGGUUGAUUACUGUAUGAAUAAGGACCUGAUGAUGGCUGAGUUCCACGAUAAAUGUCUAAAUUGAAAGCAUCAUAAG
Molecule: long non-coding RNA, 962 nt
Organism: Chinchilla lanigera (long-tailed chinchilla)
Lineage: Eukaryota; Metazoa; Chordata; Mammalia; Rodentia; Chinchillidae
Exons: 3
Source: RefSeq, a predicted model, not a curated record